ACUUCGGUGAACAAAAACAACAUGCACUAACUACAAGCACUACUACUCCAGCACUACUGCACUGACGCAUCACACG
Long non-coding RNA from Sander lucioperca (pikeperch), 76 nucleotides. RefSeq lists it as uncharacterized. The record is from RefSeq and is a predicted model, not a curated record. The transcript is spliced from 3 exons. NCBI's taxonomy places the organism in Eukaryota, Metazoa, Chordata, Actinopteri, Perciformes, Percidae.